GCUAAAAAUCUAGCUCCACUUCUACUCAUGCACUAAUCCACCCUAAACACCUAAAUUAAAUCAUUUUAACAUUUUAGUAAAGGAGAUUGAAAAAUUUUAUGAAGCAACAAACCUAGUACCGCAAGGGAAAGAUGAAAUAUUAAUGAAAACCUCUAAGCAAAACAUAGUAGAGAUUAACUCUCGUACCUUUUGCAUCAUGGUUCAACUAGUCUUAUCAAGCAAAAAGCAUUACAGUUUGACCCCCCGAAACUAAGUGAGCUACUUCAAGGCAGUUUUACGAACUAACCCGUCUCUGUAGCAAAAGAGUGGGAAGACCUUCAAGUAGAGGUGAUAUACUUAUCGAACUUAGUGAUAGCUGGUUACUCAAGAAAAGAAUUUUAGUCCAACCUAAAGUCUUAUUAUUACCCCUAAAAACACCCUUGACUUUAGAGCAACUCAAAUAAGGUACAGCCUAUUUGAUAAAGGAUACAACCUCGCCCGACGGGUAAAAUAACCGCUUCAACUACCAAGUAGGCCUAAAAGCAGCCAUCUUUAUAAAAGCGUCAAAGCUUAGUUUUUACUAGCCUUCUAAUACCUUAACUCAAUUUUAACCCUCUAUCAGUAUUGAGUAAUUUUAUACCCCUAUAAAAGAUUUUAUGUUGAAACUAGUAACAAGAAGAGUAAACUUCUCUUAGAUGUAAGCAUAAGUCAGAAUGGACCAACCACUGACAAUUAACGCCUAUGAACAUGUAUUAGCAACUUCACAAGAAAAACCUAAUUGCCCCUACGUUAACCUGACACAAGAACAUCACAAGAAAGAUUAAAAGAAAGAGAAGGAACUCGGCAAACAUUAACCCCGCCUGUUUAUCAAAAACAUCGCCUCUUGCCCCAAACAUAAGAGGUCCAGCCUGCCCAGUGACUAUUGUUCAACGGCCGCGGUAUCCUAACCGUGCGAAGGUAGCGUAAUCACUUGUUCUUUAAAUGAGGACUAGUAUGAAUGGCAUCACGAGGGUUAUACUGUCUCCUCUCUCUAAUCAGUGAAACUAAUCUCCCCGUGAAGAAGCGGGGAUAAAAUUAUAAGACGAGAAGACCCUAUGGAGCUUUAAGUAAAUCUUCAAACGCUUGUACACCCUAACAGUCAUAGACCCUUAAAAUUAACUUUAGCGCCAUGAAGAUGAACUUUAGGUUGGGGUGACCACGGAGUACAAAAAAACCUCUACGCUGAACAAGCCUCAAAGCCUUGAGUAAAGGACCACAACCCGACACACUAAUAAACUAACACCCAUUGACCCAAUAAUCCUUUGAUCAACGAACCAAGUUACCCUAGGGAUAACAGCGCAAUCUACUUCAAGAGUUCCUAUCGACAAGUAGGUUUACGACCUCGAUGUUGGAUCAGGGUAUCCCAGUGGUGCAGCCGCUACUAACGGUUCGUUUGUUCAACGAUUAAAACCCU
This 1432-nucleotide ribosomal RNA is filed under the name Scinax boesemani (Boeseman's snouted treefrog). RNAcentral describes it as "partial 16S large subunit ribosomal RNA". It matches the Rfam family "Bacterial large subunit ribosomal RNA", at positions 133 to 2597 of the family's 2925-position model. Lineage: Eukaryota; Metazoa; Chordata; Amphibia; Anura; Hylidae. The record is from RNAcentral.